GACGAACGCUGGCGGCGUGCUUAACACAUGCAAGUCGAACGGAAAGGCCCUGCUUGCCGGGUGCUCGAGUGGCGAACGGGUGAGUAACACGUGGGUGAUCUGCCCCUUACUUUGGGAUAAGCCUGGGAAACUGGGUCUAAUACUGGAUAGGACCAUGCUGUAGGUGGUGUGGUGGAAAGAUUAGUUUCGGUAAGGGAUGAGCUCGCGGCCUAUCAGCUUGUUGGUGGGGUAAUGGCCUACCAAGGCGUCGACGGGUAGCCGGCCUGAGAGGGUGGACGGCCACAUUGGGACUGAGAUACGGCCCAGACUCCUACGGGAGGCAGCAGUGGGGAAUAUUGCACAAUGGGCGCAAGCCUGAUGCAGCGACGCCGCGUGGGGGAUGACGGCCUUCGGGUUGUAAACUUCUUUCAGCCAUGACGAAGCCCUUGUGGUGACGGUAGUGGUAGAAGAAGCACCGGCUAACUACGUG
Molecule: ribosomal RNA, 469 nt
Filed under: uncultured bacterium
Lineage: Bacteria
Description: partial 16S ribosomal RNA
Rfam family: Bacterial small subunit ribosomal RNA
Source: RNAcentral